UGGAUACUGGCUUGCUGGAGUGAGAUGGAGGGAAGCGGAAUCUAACGUGUAACGGUGAAAUGUGUAGAUAUGUGGAGGAACACCGGUGGCGAAAGCGGCUUCCUGGAACUCAUCUGACGCUGAGGCGCGAAAGCUGGGGGGAGCGAACAAGAUUAGAUACCCUGGUAGCCUGGCCGUAAAACUAUGAGAACUAGUUGUGGGGUUCCUCCCUCCCUUCCGUGCCGCACCGAAAGUGUUAAUUGUUCCGCCUGGGGAGUACGGCCGCAGGGUUGAAACUCAAAGGAAUUGACGGGGGCCCGCACAAGCGGUGGAGUAUGUGGUUUAAUUCGAAGCAACGCGAAGAACCUUUACCAGGGCUUGAAAUGGAUGGAAGUCCGCUGAAAGGCGUCUGCUCUCUCUUAGACACAAGACAGGUGUGUGCUGGCUUGCCUUCAACUCGAGUCGUGGCAUGAUAGGUUGAGUUCCGCCACGAGCCGUAACCCCUACUUU
This 489-nucleotide ribosomal RNA is filed under the name uncultured bacterium. Its description in RNAcentral is "bacterial SSU rRNA". It matches the Rfam family "Bacterial small subunit ribosomal RNA", at positions 627 to 1111 of the family's 1533-position model. The record is from RNAcentral.